Molecule: long non-coding RNA, 744 nt
Organism: Theobroma cacao (cacao)
Lineage: Eukaryota; Viridiplantae; Streptophyta; Magnoliopsida; Malvales; Malvaceae
Source: RefSeq, a predicted model, not a curated record
AAGGACUCAGAUACUAUCAUACUAAAUUCUAACCCCUAACCCAUGUGUGUGGCUCAAUUUAGUCACUUUACGAAAGUUUCCCUGCUUUGCUCUGAUCAUCCGAAUUCCAAACCCCUUUGCCCCCAACUGGCUUGCUGCCUCUUUUCCUAUGCUAUGUCGACUAAAGAUUUCCUGCUUUGCUUUCCAAACUCUUCACUUCCUCUGCGGUUCUUAUCUACAACUUUGGAGCUUAAGAGCAAUGUCAAGUGUGAAUGAUGAUUCAGUGCCAUUGCCACCAAUGGGUACAGCUAGUAUGCAACCAACAUCACAUUUCUUUUCACUAGGAGCAAGUGAAGGUGAGACUUUGAGUUCCAAAUCCAAAGCAGAAAAGAAUAAAGGAGUUUGGUUGAGGGCAAAAUCAUGGAAUCGCUUCACCAGGUUGUCAAUGAUGAUGAGAUGUCAAAGAUUGAGAUUGUGGAUUCCAUUUCCAUUGUUGAUGAGUGAAGAGUUUAUAAUUGCAUUCUUCAUAUUUUAAUUGAGAUAGCCUAUGUGAGUGAAUGUGAAGAGUCAAGUCAUGAUGGAGAUUCAAGUUGAUACUUUGUGAAUUUUCAAAAAAGUUAAUACUUACUGAUGGUUAAUGAUUUUGUGUUAGUUUUAUUUUGUGGAUGUUAAUUUUAUUACCUUUGGCUUUUUGUUAUGUUGAAUCUUGAAUAUUAAUUUGAUAAUUUAUGUAAAAAGACAUAAUUAUGUGAGUGAAGGAACAAA